Molecule: unclassified non-coding RNA, 348 nt
Filed under: soil metagenome
Description: partial contains 5.8S ribosomal RNA, internal transcribed spacer 2, and large subunit ribosomal RNA
Rfam family: 5.8S ribosomal RNA (bases 1-120)
Source: RNAcentral
GAUGAAGAACGUAGCAAAAUGCGAUAAGUAAUGUGAAUUGCAGAAUUCAGUGAAUCAUCGAAUCUUUGAACGCACAUUGCGCCCGCUGGUAUUCCGGCGGGCAUGCCUGUUCGAGCGUCAUUUCAACCCUCAAGCCCCCGGGUUUGGUGUUGGGGAUCGGCUCUGCCCUUCUGGGCGGUGCCGCCCCCGAAAUACAUUGGCGGUCUCGCUGCAGCCUCCAUUGCGUAGUAGCUAACACCUCGCAACUGGAACGCGGCGCGGCCAUGCCGUAAAACCCCAACUUCUGAAUGUUGACCUCGGAUCAGGUAGGAAUACCCGCCGAACUUAAGCAUAUCAAUAAGCGGAGGA